Molecule: ribosomal RNA, 497 nt
Filed under: uncultured bacterium
Lineage: Bacteria
Description: partial 16S ribosomal RNA
Rfam family: Bacterial small subunit ribosomal RNA
Source: RNAcentral
GAUGAACGCUGGCGGCGUGCCUAAUACAUGCAAGUCGAGCGAACAGAUGAGGAGCUUGCUCCUCUGACGUUAGCGGCGGACGGGUGAGUAACACGUGGAUAACCUACCUCUAAGACUGGGAUAACUACGGGAAACCGGAGCUAAUACCGGAUAAUAUAUUGAACCGCAUGGUUCAAUAGUGAAAGACGGUUUUGCUGACACUUAUAGAUGGAUCCGCGCCGCAUUAGCUAGUUGGUAAGGUAACGGCUUACCAAGGCGACGAUGCGUAGCCGACCUGAGAGGGUGAUCGGCCACACUGGAACUGAGACACGGUCCAGACUCCUACGGGAGGCAGCAGUAGGGAAUCUUCCGCAAUGGGCGAAAGCCUGACGGAGCAACGCCGCGUGAGUGAUGAAGGUCUUCGGAUCGUAAAACUCUGUUAUUAGGGAAGAACAAAUGUGUAAGUAACUAUGCACGUCUUGACGGUACCUAAUCAGAAAGCCACGGCUAACUACGUG